Molecule: ribosomal RNA, 675 nt
Filed under: uncultured bacterium
Lineage: Bacteria
Description: bacterial SSU rRNA
Rfam family: Bacterial small subunit ribosomal RNA
Source: RNAcentral
CAGGCUUAACACAUGCAAGUCGAGGGGCAGCAUGGUCUUAGCUUGCUAAGGCCGAUGGCGACCGGCGCACGGGUGAGUAACACGUAUCCAACCUGCCGUCUACUCUUGGACAGCCUUCUGAAAGGAAGAUUAAUACAAGAUGGCAUCAUGAGUCCGCAUGUUCACAUGAUUAAAGGUAUUCCGGUAGACGAUGGGGAUGCGUUCCAUUAGAUAGUAGGCGGGGUAACGGCCCACCUAGUCUUCGAUGGAUAGGGGUUCUGAGAGGAAGGUCCCCCACAUUGGAACUGAGACACGGUCCAAACUCCUACGGGAGGCAGCAGUGAGGAAUAUUGGUCAAUGGGCGAGAGCCUGAACCAGCCAAGUAGCGUGAAGGAUGACUGCCCUAUGGGUUGUAAACUUCUUUUAUAAAGGAAUAAAGUCGGGUAUGUAUACCCCGUUUGCAUGUACUUUAUGAAUAAGGAUCGGCUAACUCCGUGCCAGCAGCCGCGGUAAUACGGAGGAUCCGAGCGUUAUCCGGAUUUAUUGGGUUUAAAGGGAGCGUAGAUGGAUGUUUAAGUCAGUUGUGAAAGUUUGCGGCUCAACCGUAAAAUUGCAGUUGAUACUGGAUAUCUUGAGUGCAGUUGAGGCAGGCGGAAUUCGUGGUGUAGCGGUGAAAUGCUUAGAUAUCACGAAGAA